Otolemur garnettii (small-eared galago) is the source of this 106-nucleotide non-coding RNA. NCBI's taxonomy places the organism in Eukaryota, Metazoa, Chordata, Mammalia, Primates, Galagidae. The record is from Rfam.
GUGCUCACUUCAGCAGCACAUACAUAAUGUUGGAAUGCUACAGAGAAGAUUAGCAUGGCUCCUGUGCAAGGAUGGCAGAAUAACCGGAGGCCUGCCCCCAGCUCCC